RNAcentral lists this ribosomal RNA (246 nucleotides) under uncultured Eubacteriales bacterium. RNAcentral describes it as "uncultured Clostridiales bacterium partial 16S ribosomal RNA". It matches the Rfam family "Bacterial small subunit ribosomal RNA", at positions 796 to 1041 of the family's 1533-position model. Lineage: Bacteria; Bacillati; Bacillota; Clostridia; Eubacteriales. The record is from RNAcentral.
CACGCUGUAAACGAUGGGUACUAGGUGUGGGAGGUAUCGACUCCUUCCGUGCCGCAGUUAACACAAUAAGUACCCCGCCUGGGGAGUACGAUCGCAAGAUUAAAACUCAAAGGAAUUGACGGGGGCCCGCACAAGCAGCGGAGCAUGUGGUUUAAUUCGAAGCAACGCGAAGAACCUUACCUAGACUUGACAUCCCCUGCAUAGUAUGGAAACAUAUGAAGUCCUUCGGGACAGGGAGACAGGUGG